AAUCAGGGUUUGGGAAGCAUCGGAAAAUGUAGUUGGGAGUCCAGAGAGAAGAAGUCCGUCAAAUUUGUAGACGUAUUCGCUCUUUGGGGAGAAGGUACGGUCAAGAGCCGGAGAGGCGGCAAUCGCCAAGGCGACAAGAGAGGCAAUGAUUAUUGACUUCAUUGCGAGAGUGAUUAUUCCCUUUCCAG
Non-coding RNA from Caenorhabditis elegans, 188 nucleotides. Lineage: Eukaryota; Metazoa; Nematoda; Chromadorea; Rhabditida; Rhabditidae. The record is from Ensembl.